AGCUUGCUUCUGAUUGAUAACAUUUGAGUGAGUGGCGGACGGGUGAGUAACACGUGGGUAACCUGCCCUAAAGUGGGGGAUAACAUUUGGAAACAGAUGCUAAUACCGCAUAAAACCUAGCACCGCAUGGUGCAAGGUUGAAAGAUGGUUUCGGCUAUCACUUUAGGAUGGACCCGCGGUGCAUUAGUUAGUUGGUGAGGUAAAGGCUCACCAAGACCGUGAUGCAUAGCCGACCUGAGAGGGUAAUCGGCCACACUGGGACUGAGACACGGCCCAGACUCCUACGGGAGGCAGCAGUAGGGAAUCUUCCACAAUGGACGAAAGUCUGAUGGAGCAACGCCGCGUGAGUGAAGAAGGUUUUCGGAUCGUAAAACUCUGUUGUUGGAGAAGAACGUAUUUGAUAGUAACUGAUCAGGUAGUGACGGUAUCCAACCAGAAAGCCACGGCUAACUACGUGCCAGCAGCCGCGGUAAUACGUAGGUGGCAAGCGUUGUCCGGAUUUAUUGGGCGUAAAGCGAGCGCAGGCGGUUUCUUAAGUCUGAUGUGAAAGCCUUCGGCUCAACCGAAGAAGUGCAUCGGAAACUGGGAAACUUGAGUGCAGAAGAGGACAGUGGAACUCCAUGUGUAGCGGUGAAAUGCGUAGAUAUAUGGAAGAACACCAGUGGCGAAGGCGGCUGUCUGGUCUGUAACUGACGCUGAGGCUCGAAAGCAUGGGUAGCAAACAGGAUUAGAUACCCUGGUAGUCCAUGCCGUAAACGAUGAGUGCUAGGUGUUGGAGGGUUUCCGCCCUUCAGUGCCGCAGCUAACGCAUUAAGCACUCCGCCUGGGGAGUACGACCGCAAGGUUGAAACUCAAAGGAAUUGACGGGGGCCCGCACAAGCGGUGGAGCAUGUGGUUUAAUUCGAAGCAACGCGAAGAACCUUACCAGGUCUUGACAUCCUUUGACCACUCUAGAGAUAGAGCUUUCCCUUCGGGGACAAAGUGACAGGUGGUGCAUGGUUGUCGUCAGCUCGUGUCGUGAGAUGUUGGGUUAAGUCCCGCAACGAGCGCAACCCUUAUUACUAGUUGCCAGCAUUUAGUUGGGCACUCUAGUGAGACUGCCGGUGACAAACCGGAGGAAGGUGGGGACGACGUCAAAUCAUCAUGCCCCUUAUGACCUGGGCUACACACGUGCUACAAUGGAUGGUACAACGAGUCGCGAGACCGCGAGGUUUAGCUAAUCUCUUAAAACCAUUCUCAGUUCGGAUUGUAGGCUGCAACUCGCCUACAUGAAGCCGGAAUCGCUAGUAAUCGCGGAUCAGCAUGCCGCGGUGAAUACGUUCCCGGGCCUUGUACACACCGCCCGUCACACCAUGAGAGUUUGUAACACC
This 1370-nucleotide ribosomal RNA is filed under the name Latilactobacillus curvatus. RNAcentral's name for it is "bacterial SSU rRNA". It matches the Rfam family "Bacterial small subunit ribosomal RNA", at positions 65 to 1421 of the family's 1533-position model. Lineage: Bacteria; Bacillati; Bacillota; Bacilli; Lactobacillales; Lactobacillaceae. The record is from RNAcentral.